This 351-nucleotide ribosomal RNA is filed under the name uncultured bacterium. RNAcentral describes it as "bacterial SSU rRNA". It matches the Rfam family "Bacterial small subunit ribosomal RNA", at positions 29 to 409 of the family's 1533-position model. The record is from RNAcentral.
AACGAACGCUGGCGGCAGGCCUAACACAUGCAAGUCGAACGCUCCGCAAGGGGAGUGGCGCACGGGUGAGUAACACGUGGGAACCUACCUUCUGGUACGGAACAACCAAGGGAAACUUUGGCUAAGACCGUAUACGACCUCCGGGUGAAAGAUUGAUCGCCGGAAGAGGGGCCCGCGUCCGAUUAGGUAGUUGGUGAGGUAACGGCUCACCAAGCCUUCGAUCGGUAGCUGGUCUGAGAGGAUGACCAGCCACACUGGGACUGAGACACGGCCCAGACUCCUACGGGAGGCAGCAGUGGGGAAUAUUGGACAAUGGGCGCAAGCCUGAUCCAGCCAUGCCGCGUGAGUGAU